This is a non-coding RNA of Schistosoma mansoni, 45 nucleotides long. The record is from Rfam. NCBI's taxonomy places the organism in Eukaryota, Metazoa, Platyhelminthes, Trematoda, Strigeidida, Schistosomatidae.
AUCUAGCUGAUGAGUCGAAAAUAGAAUGAAACAUGUGUCUUUGAU